RNAcentral lists this transfer RNA (75 nucleotides) under Danionella cerebrum. RNAcentral describes it as "tRNA-Val". It matches the Rfam family "tRNA". From Rfam's summary of the family: Transfer RNA (tRNA) molecules are approximately 80 nucleotides in length. Their secondary structure includes four short double-helical elements and three loops (D, anti-codon, and T loops). Lineage: Eukaryota; Metazoa; Chordata; Actinopteri; Cypriniformes; Danionidae. The record is from RNAcentral.
GCUUUCCUGCGGUUCAGUUGGUAGAGCAUUGCGCCAACAACACAAAGUUUUUGAGUUCAAAUCCCAGGGAAAGCA